UAGAUACCCUAUUAUUUAAGACGUAAAUUUUAAAGGUUAGGGUAGUAUUAGAUAAGWUCUUGAAACCCAAAAAAUUUGGCGGUAUUUUAGACUAUUCAGAGGAACCUGUAGUGUAAUUGAUAAUCCACGAUGGACCUCACUUAAAUUUGUUUUUCAGUUUGUAUACCGCCGUUAUUUGAAAAUUUUAUAAGAAUUAUAAAUUUUCAUAAUUUUUUAUAAAAAARWAAAWCAGGUCAAGGUGCAGCUUAUAUUUAAGUAUUUWUGGGUUACAAUAAAUUUAUUUAGACGGAUUAAAAUAUGAAAUUUAAUUUUAUGAAGGUGGAUUUGAAAGUAAAUAUUUAAAGAUUAAAUUGUUGAUUUUAGCUCUAAAAUAUGCACAUAUCSCCCGUCGCUCUUGUUAAUAAUAUAAGAUAAGUCGUAACAUAGUAGAUGUACCGGAAGGUGUAUCUAGAAUGACAAUUUAAAGCUUAAUUUAGUAAAGUAUCUCAUUUACAUUGAGAUGAUUGUUGUGCAAAUCAAUAUAAAUUGAUAGUAUAUAAUUAUUAAUUAUUUUUUUUUUWUUAUUAUUAUUAUUAGAAAUAACUAUUUAUAUAGGUUUGAGUAUUUUAUAAAGAAAUAAUUUUAUUAAUUAUAGUGUAUUAAGUAAUUUAAUUGAACU
This 658-nucleotide ribosomal RNA is filed under the name Thinophilus sp. 6 SNK-2009. RNAcentral describes it as "partial 12S ribosomal RNA". The stretch from base 457 to 529 matches the Rfam family "tRNA". Lineage: Eukaryota; Metazoa; Arthropoda; Insecta; Diptera; Dolichopodidae. The record is from RNAcentral.